Long non-coding RNA from Oncorhynchus kisutch (coho salmon), 344 nucleotides. RefSeq lists it as uncharacterized. The transcript is spliced from 3 exons. NCBI's taxonomy places the organism in Eukaryota, Metazoa, Chordata, Actinopteri, Salmoniformes, Salmonidae. The record is from RefSeq and is a predicted model, not a curated record.
GUCAUGACAGUAUGGAUAUAUUUAGUAUGCCAAAGUUCCCAGAUGUCAUAUUAAAUUCUCCAAAAUACAAAGUAUACACGCAGUGGACACUAUUUCUGUACUUCUAGGGCCCAUAAUGCAAUUCUUCAGAAAAUGGGCGUGACUUCACAACAUUUUCACAUUUGAAGAAAAUGGCAGAAAAUAAGUCCAAUGAGAGCAGAUAAAAAUGAAAGAGGCAUACGGCCGUGAAGGGGCUUGCGAGUACUGUCUGGAGGGGAAGGUGGCUGCAGCCUGGAUAAAGAAAAAAAAAUGGGAGAACCUCAAAGGCAUCUAAAAUGUCUCAAUAUCUACAUCAUGUCCCGGUU